RNAcentral lists this transfer RNA (71 nucleotides) under Ictidomys tridecemlineatus (thirteen-lined ground squirrel). Its description in RNAcentral is "Spermophilus tridecemlineatus (thirteen-lined ground squirrel) tRNA". It matches the Rfam family "tRNA". Rfam says of the family: Transfer RNA (tRNA) molecules are approximately 80 nucleotides in length. The record is from Rfam by way of RNAcentral. Lineage: Eukaryota; Metazoa; Chordata; Mammalia; Rodentia; Sciuridae.
GCGGUUAUGGCUCAAUGGUAGAGCACUUGCCUGGAAUGUGUGAGGCACUGGGUUCUAUCCCCAGCACCACA